CCCGGGGGGAGGCAGGAGAGCAGGUGGCUGACAUGACACAUGGCUUGGGGUUAGGGGUAUCAGCGAGGCAAGUGCCAGGGUUCAAAGGACAGCGAGGUCCUUUCUCAGACCUUGGGCACAUGGCUAAGUCUUUCUAAGCCUUGGUUUCCUCAUCUGUAAAGUGGGCAUAAUGGUUAGUAUUUAUGUUACAGCAUCGGUGAGAUACCAUCUACCACGUAACAUAGUAACAUAUUUUGAAAAUCGACUGAUGUUUUUUUUUCCCCAUUGUGUUUCCUUCCUUCCCCACCCUUCUCCCAUUCAAGCAGCCAAGCUCAUGGCCUCCGGGAGAGGAUGUGACAGAAGAAGGCAAAGGGAAUAGAAGGAGUCUCUUCCUGACUUUUGUGUGCAAAAGCCUUGGCUGUAGGGGAAACUACAAAGGGAACAAAUGCAGGAGAAAAACAUCCUGACCCACAGCAGCCCAGCCCUUCUGUGUUGACGACACAUACACAGUUCCGGCCGAGUACGGUUUCCCGCCGUGGACGUCCCAGGGCUCGCCUGCUCGGCCAGCCACGAGCUAGGCUUCCAAUCCAGGACUGCGAACUUCGGGGCCACGUCUUCUACGUCUUUGUGUUCCUGAUGCACCGCUGCCCAGCCUCACGGUAAGUGAGGCGAGAACACCGUUAACAGUGGUGACAAGCGAGCUCCGAGCGCACAUCCUGGGCUAAGAACACGCUAAGCCCCUUGACUUGCAUUAGUUCAUUUAAUUUUCCUGACCACCCCGUGAGGCCAUAGGUUGGCACCCCCACUCACUUGGAUGUGGCAACGGGUCCAGAGAGGUUUUCAGUGACUCAUCAAACAUUCCCCAGCUGAUAAGCAGUGGGACCUGGCCUUGAAGCCAGGUGUCCGGGUCCAAAUCCUGCUCUCAUAACCACAUCAUGAACCAUCCCCCGCCUUGGACAUUCUCUUCCCCGCACUUGACCUCUUUCCUCCCCUGCGCAGCAUCUAGAACAGACCUGGGCGUGCAGAAAGUGCUUAAUUAAUGCGUGUAGACGGUCUGUUGGAUGAGGCGGCCGGUGACGGAUCGAGACUCACAAGACCCUGGCAUCUAGUAACACCGCAUCUACAGGAAACACUGCAGCCACGCCUCACCUCUGGCCUGUCACACUCCUAUAGCCUGACACCCUUUCUGUCCCCACGUGGGGGUGCGGGCUGGGUUUCUAGCCAGCCCCGGACAUCACUCCUGACAAGCGUCCUUUGCUCCCAGAGCCGAAACAACAUACGGAAAACCCAGGUCCCUCUUUCAAGCCCUCCGAAUCAGAGCCACAGGGGCCUAUAAAGUUCAGGUUAUGAAGUGUCACGGGGUCUGUAACGACCUCUUCUUAUUGCCUAAGCACACACCAGAAAUCUGUUCGUUUCUGGGCAGGGGCUAAUGGAAAAAGAGGGAAACUUUCCAUGUAUUUAUUAUGUGAAACAUCACAUACGGGGGAUAUGCACAGUGAUAUGUAAUUAGACAUAAAAUGAGCCAGACUUGAGGAUUUGCCAAAAAUCUGCCGCAGAAUAAUGAAACUGCUUUACGAGGC
Molecule: long non-coding RNA, 1559 nt
Organism: Felis catus (domestic cat)
Lineage: Eukaryota; Metazoa; Chordata; Mammalia; Carnivora; Felidae
Exons: 2
Source: RefSeq, a predicted model, not a curated record